RNAcentral lists this ribosomal RNA (1945 nucleotides) under human metagenome. RNAcentral describes it as "bacterial LSU rRNA". It matches the Rfam family "Bacterial large subunit ribosomal RNA", at positions 1 to 1977 of the family's 2925-position model. The record is from RNAcentral.
GAAAGUAAACAAGGGCGCAUGGAGGAUGCCUAGGCUCUCGGAGGCGAAGAAGGACGUGAUAAGCUGCGAAAAGUUACGGUAAGGCGCAAAUAGCCGUAGACCCGUAAAUAUCCGAAUGGGGCAACCCGGCCAGCAAUGGCCAUACCGCCAAGCGGUAAGCCAACGCGGGGAACUGAAACAUCUAAGUACCCGCAGGAAAAGAAAAUAACCAUGAUUCCGCAAGUAGUGGCGAGCGAACGCGGAACAGCCCAAACCACCCGUGUUACGGCACGGGUGGGGUAGAAGGAUCCACGCUACGGCAAGAAAUAAGUUAGCAGAAUACGAUGGAAAUCGUAGCCAAAGACGGUGACAGCCCAGUACGCGAAAACCGACAGAAGCCCAGUGGACACCUGAGUAACCCAGGACACGAGAAAUCCGGGGCGAAUCAGCGGGGCCCAUCCCGUAAGGCUAAAUACUCCCGAGAGACCGAUAGCGAACCAGUACUGUGAAGGAAAGGUGAAAAGAACCUCGAACAGAGGAGUGAAACAGACCCUGAAACCAUGCGCCUACAAGCGGUCGGAGCAUGUUAAAAUGUGACGGCGUGCCUUUUGCAUAAUGAACCUACGAGUUACUCUCGCUGGCAAGGUUAAGCGAUUCAGUCGCGUAGCCGAAGCGAAAGCAAGUCCGAAUAAGGCGUACAGUCAGCGGGAGUAGACGCGAAACCAAGUGAUCUACCCUUGGUCAGGUUGAAGGUUGGGUAACACCAACUGGAGGACCGCACCGAUAAGCGUUGAAAAGCUUACGGAUGAACUGAGGGUAGGAGUGAAAGGCCAAUCAAACUUGGAGAUAGCUCGUACUCCCCGAAAUGCAUUUAGGUGCAGCCUCGAAGCAAAGUGAUAGAGGUAGAGCGACUGAUAAGAUGCGAGGGCUUCACCGCCUAUCAAGUCUUGACAAACUCCGAAUGCGCAUCAGUUCUACCGCAGGAGUGAGGGCAUGGGUGCUAAGGUCCGUGCCCGAGAGGAGAAGAAUCCGGACCACCUGCUAAGGUCCCGAAAUAACAGCUAAGUUAAACUAACGAAGUCAGAUUGCUAAGACAGCUAGGAUGUUGGCUUGGAAGCAGCCAUUCAUUUAAAGAGUGCGUAACAGCUCACUAGUCGAGGAGUUUUGCAUGGAUAAUAAUCGGGCAUAAGCCCUUUACCGAAGCUGUGGAUGUCGCAAGACAUGGUAGGGGAGCAUUCCGGCGGCGACGAAGGCCGUCCUCGAGGACGACUGGAGCUUUCGGAAAAGCAAAUGUAGGUAUAAGUAACGAUAAAGGGGGCGCGAAACCCCCUCGCCAUAAGACUAAGGAUUCCUGAUCAACGCUAAUCGGAUCAGGGUAAGUCGGGCCCUAAGGCGCAGCCGAACGGCGUAGCCGAUGGAAGAAACGGUAAAGAUUCCGUUACUGGAUAUAGGAGCGAUGUGGAGACGGAGAAGUGACACACCCGCCUGCCGACGGAAGCGCAGGUUAAAGGAAGUAGGUAAACGCCGGGUAGGCAAAUCCGCCUGGCGUGCCGAAACUGACAGUAUCGAGAGCCCCCGGGCAAUCGAAUAGCGGUGGUAAUCAGGCUCCCAAGAAAAUCCGCUAAGCAUAUUCUAUAUCCACCCGUACCCCAAACGGACACACGUAGUCGGGUAGAAUAUACCAAGGCGCUCGAAAGACUCACGGUUAAGGAACUAGGCAAAUUGACCCUGUAACCUCGGGAAAAAGGGUCCCCAGUAAGAUGGGGCGCAGAGAAUAGGUCCAGGCAACUGUUUAACAAAAACACAGGGCUGUGCAAAAUUUAGAGAUGAAGUAUACAGCCUGACACCUGCCCGGUGCCGGAAGGUUAAGAGGAGAGCUUAUCGCAAGAGAAGGCUUGAAUUGAAGCCCCGGUAAACGGCGGCCGUAACUAUAACGGUCCUAAGGUAGCGAAAUUCCUUGUCGGGU